CCGGGUUUGGCUGUUCUUGUCAUCACAGUUUCCUGGAGAUGGCAGCAAAGUACGCAGAAGCAAGGGCACCGACCAUAACAUAAACAAGUGGCGAGAUUAAUGGCGCUGUGCAGCUCUGGGGAUGACUCUGACGAAAUGCAUCAACCUCUUCUGCUCUCAAAUGACAGGGCAGAUGCCUUCACUCCAUGGCACAUUAGAGUGGCGUGAGAAUAGGAAUUCCAUGGCUCAAUGUUGCCCACGUCAAAAUUGCCUGUGAGCACCAAUUUUAUUCUACUUGGAGCUAAGCAAUGAUAUUGCAUGCUGUGCUCAUUUAAACUCACCAUAAUCCAACUGCAUAUCUUCAGAAGAGAGAGAGAAUGAGAAAGAAAGAAAGAGCAAGAGAUGGUAAGUAGAAAUCUGUUGUUUCCACAGUUGGAAUCAGUUCUCCUGGUGUUUCUUAUGGUGUUGGUCCUUGCGAAGCUUUUAAAGUACAGUUUGACUGUACUCAAUUUUCACAUUACUUGCUGACUUUAGAACCCCACUGUCUCAGCAAGAUACUAGUCCCAGUUAAUUAGUUGUUUGCAUGUG
This is a non-coding RNA of Microcebus murinus (gray mouse lemur), 567 nucleotides long. The record is from RefSeq and is a predicted model, not a curated record. NCBI's taxonomy places the organism in Eukaryota, Metazoa, Chordata, Mammalia, Primates, Cheirogaleidae.